Molecule: long non-coding RNA, 523 nt
Organism: Hyaena hyaena (striped hyena)
Lineage: Eukaryota; Metazoa; Chordata; Mammalia; Carnivora; Hyaenidae
Exons: 3
Source: RefSeq, a predicted model, not a curated record
UUAAGCUUUAGGAAGCUUUAAGUCCCUGCAGAACAGAAGCAGACUGAAGGAGAGUUAGAGACACAACACGUAACACAUCUGUCUAACGACCCAUAACUACCAGGAGUCAAGUUUCUUCACUGUCCUCCUGCGUCCAGCCAUGUUGCCACACAUCACAUCCCCCCUCCCAGUUGUUCUCUGGACACCUUGACGAUCUCCAUGGCACGGCCGCGGGGGCAGGAGCGGCUGGCUCACUGAUGACUGCGCAAUUCGUGUUUCUCUCCCUUUGUCUUCUCUGAAGCCUUUGCCCCUCUCGAACCACUGAGAGGCUUCUGAAUUCCUCUCUGGUGGCUGACGAAAUCGGAUGUCACUCCAUUCCCAAGGAUGGGUUGGGACUGCUUCAGCUGGAGCAAGACAUGCAGUACAAGCGUGACCCCCAAGUGAUUCAUGUGCUCUGGGCAUUCACAGGGAGGAGUCCCAGUUCCCAGCAUCUUCCUUACCAUCCAAUGUCAUCAUGUCACUUCCUGGAAAGUUCCAGUGCGCC